This 253-nucleotide ribosomal RNA is filed under the name uncultured bacterium. RNAcentral's name for it is "partial 16S ribosomal RNA". It matches the Rfam family "Bacterial small subunit ribosomal RNA", at positions 524 to 776 of the family's 1533-position model. The record is from RNAcentral.
UACGGGGGGGGCAAGCGUUGUUCGGAAUUACUGGGCGUAAAGGGCUUGUAGGUGGCCAACUAAGUCAGACGUGAAAUCCCUCAGCUUAACUGGGGAACUGCGUCUGAUACUGGAUGGCUUGAGUUUGGGAGAGGGACGCGGAAUUCCAGGUGUAGCGGUGAAAUGCGUAGAUAUCUGGAGGAACACCGGUGGCGAAAGCGGCUCACUGGAUCUUAUCUGACGCUGAGGCACGAAAGCCAGGGUAGCAAACGGG